Molecule: long non-coding RNA, 1081 nt
Organism: Alexandromys fortis (reed vole)
Lineage: Eukaryota; Metazoa; Chordata; Mammalia; Rodentia; Cricetidae
Exons: 3
Source: RefSeq, a predicted model, not a curated record
CUGGGACUAUGGCCGGUGGUGGGAGCUUCAAGUGUGGGCUCCUUGAUUUCCCUGGCAGCUGGUGGGGCAAGGAGGCGGGAACCAAAGUCAGGCCUUCUCCGCUCUGUCACCUGCUACAGCCUUGAGCUACUCCAGGAGCUUGCAACAUCUCAGGCUCCGGCUGGAACUCUUCCCCGUCUGACAGCAGGACUCUGCCUGGCCAGCAGCUGAUCAAAUGUGGAGCCAGGGUGAGUGGGGGAGCCAACACGCAGAUCAAGACUUCAGUCAGAGAAGCAAGUCCGUCCAUCCCCUCCCACCCACCAGCAACUUGCAUAGACUUCCGGUCUCUACCACGGGGCCCAAACUCUCACUGACCACCACCCUUUAAUCCCAGGGUGCACCUUUAAUCCCAGCACUUGGGUGGCAAGCCUGGACUACCUGAGGUCCUGAGUUCAAUUCCUAGUAACCAUAAGGUGUCUCACUGAAAGACCCUUGAAGAGGACUUCCCUCGAGAGGAGACUCCCCCGAAGCCAAGGAACAGGCCGAGACCAUGCGGAUGCAAAUAGCAAGAGGUUUAUUGUGUGAACACAGGUACCUGCGGGCGACAAAGUCUUUCGGAGGACUUGCGCACCUGCAGACUGGGGGGAGGUCUUUUUAUAGGAAAGAGGGCGGCCAAAGCAGAUUACAGAAGCAGAUGCAUGGUUAUUGGUCUGGUUGGGAUGAGGCAGGGGGCAUAAGUGGUUUCUCCUUUCCCAGCACAGAUGUAUGGCGACAGACAUCCUGUUUUCUUUUGGUUCCUCCUUUCCCAGCACAGAUGUAUGGCGACAGACAUCUAUGUCAUAAAUAUCCUGCUUUGCAGCCAGAGGCCCUGGCCUCAUAAAAUAUCCUGCUUUGCAGCCAGAGGCCCUGACCUCACUCUGCACUUACAUUUGUUUGUCAAGAGUCUUGUAAAAUGAUGUUACAGCAGUUAAGCUGGGGUCCUUCAUAGGGGGAAUUGUUUCUUUUGUAAACUGGUGAUAUUUUAAGUUUGGCACAUGUGCUGACUAUAGGCAUCCUGUUUCCCUAAACGGGAUGUUCUCAUGAGAGCCAGCUAGCUAUGGGU